GGCCCCGUAGCUCAGCAGGAUAGAGCAACUGAUUCCUAAUCAGUAGGCCACAGGUUCGAAUCCUGUCGGGGUCA
Molecule: transfer RNA, 74 nt
Filed under: Allosphingosinicella indica
Lineage: Bacteria; Pseudomonadati; Pseudomonadota; Alphaproteobacteria; Sphingomonadales; Sphingomicrobiaceae
Also listed under: 2 other names
Description: Sphingomonas sp. Dd16 tRNA
Rfam family: tRNA
About the family: Transfer RNA (tRNA) molecules are approximately 80 nucleotides in length.
Source: Rfam by way of RNAcentral